GGUCACUAAGCAACAUGGAGAAACAGAACACGUUAUUAGCUGUUCUACAGCUACUAAGCUGCUGGGGUAUAUCUAGGCACAUGCAACUCUGUGGAUACACUCUGACAUUCUGAUAAAUCAUGGAUGGAAAAUAAAUCAACAGAGGCAAGGAGUGGUGGAAAACCAUCAGCAAGUUAAGCAAGAAUACUUUUGUGAUGCUUCUCCUUAGGGUUUCUGUGCUAUAAAUUCUCUCUCACUCUUCUUUUUUUUUUUUUUUGGAGGGGGGGGCAAUCACUAGGGUAACUAACAUGCAUGAACUACCUUGGCAGAAAAACACAGUGAAGACACUUAUCACAGCAAGAUCACAAGAUCAGCUGUAUACUCCUGCCUGAGGUCUACCUUGGCGUGUUACUGCUGUAUACCUUUCAAGACUGAUUCAGCACAUGACACAAGUGAAAAUAGGGGAAAGAAAGCAACCUAGUCAUACCUGGAGUGCUUUUUAAAAGGGGAUGCUGACUAUGGGAAGCAAUGGCAUGCUCAAAUCACAGCCCCUGAGGGAAUUCAUGAGGCAGUGGAGGAGGUGAAAAUAACCUCUAUAUUUGAAUACUACGAAAGUCAAGACAUCACAAAGCCUGGCUGUUUUUGAUGAAAAGAACGUCGUUGGAACAGACAGGCCAGAUUUAAUAAUCUACAGAGCAGAUAAGGAACUGCAAAUGUUCCUCCUACUUAAUGGUCUACCAGGUAAUGCACUCCUCUGGGGUGCGGGUGAUCGACUCUCCAGAAAAGAUGCAUAGAGGUGUAGCAUCUGCCCCCACUCAUCUUCAAGCCUAAUCAGUGAACAAGACGCGGAAGGAUUGACCUAGCUGCCCUGCCCAGCAGUGAGCACUUCUUCCAGGGUGGCAGGCAGCUGUUGCCUCCUGUUUCAUGGACUGGUCCUGGGGUUAAGCCUAUGCUUUUCAGGAACGUGUCUUAGCAUUUGAUUUCCACACAUAUUAUUCCCUGAAUUUGACCCAAAUACAAGAACAGCUUGGAGAAAGAUAGUGUUUCUCACAGAAUCUAUCAGAUCUGUAAAGGCCAUUUCCUACCUGUUUCACAUAAAUAAAUAUAUUUGGCAGCCCUUUGCUAUCA
RNAcentral lists this long non-coding RNA (1107 nucleotides) under Numida meleagris (helmeted guineafowl). Its description in RNAcentral is "lncRNA (ENSNMEG00000015641.1)". Lineage: Eukaryota; Metazoa; Chordata; Aves; Galliformes; Numididae. The record is from RNAcentral.